UAGCAAUACGGCAGCGGCAGACGGGAGAGUAACACGUGGGAACGCGCCCUUCGGUUCGGAAUAACUCAGGGAAACUUGGGCUAAUACCGAAUACGCCCUUACGGGGAAAGAUUUAUUGCCGAAGGAACGGCCCGCGUCCGAUUAGCUUGUUGGUGAGGUAACGGCUCACCAAGGCGACGAUCGGUAGCUGGUCUGAGAGGAUGACCAGCCUCACUGGGACUGAGACACGGCCCAGACUCCUACGGGAGGCAGCAGUGGGGAAUAUUGGACAAUGGGCGCAAGCCUGAUCCAGCCAUGCCGCGUGAGUGAUGAAGGCCUUAGGG
Molecule: ribosomal RNA, 323 nt
Filed under: uncultured bacterium
Lineage: Bacteria
Description: bacterial SSU rRNA
Rfam family: Bacterial small subunit ribosomal RNA
Source: RNAcentral